Molecule: transfer RNA, 73 nt
Filed under: Candidatus Altarchaeales archaeon WOR_SM1_86-2
Lineage: Archaea; Nanobdellati; Candidatus Altarchaeota; Candidatus Altarchaeia; Candidatus Altarchaeales
Description: Candidatus Altiarchaeales archaeon WOR_SM1_86-2 tRNA-Arg
Rfam family: tRNA
About the family: Transfer RNA (tRNA) molecules are approximately 80 nucleotides in length. Their secondary structure includes four short double-helical elements and three loops (D, anti-codon, and T loops). Further hydrogen bonds mediate the characteristic L-shaped molecular structure. tRNAs have two regions of fundamental functional importance: the anti-codon, which is responsible for specific mRNA codon recognition, and the 3' end, to which the tRNAs corresponding amino acid is attached (by aminoacyl-tRNA synthetases). tRNAs cope with the degeneracy of the genetic code in two manners: having more than one tRNA (with a specific anti-codon) for a particular amino acid; and 'wobble' base-pairing, i.e. permitting non-standard base-pairing at the 3rd anti-codon position.
Source: RNAcentral
GGGCAUAUAGCAUAACGGGAUAGUGUAACCGGGUACGAACCGGUAGAUGCAGGUUCAAAUCCUGCUGUGCCCG